Molecule: RNA transcript, 3697 nt
Organism: Etheostoma spectabile (orangethroat darter)
Lineage: Eukaryota; Metazoa; Chordata; Actinopteri; Perciformes; Percidae
Exons: 3
Source: RefSeq, a predicted model, not a curated record
UUUGCAUUUUGACUUGGGCUUCAUGCAAAUCGAACCUGUGGAAAACAAACUCUUUGAGUUUUAAACCGCUGGAGAUAACAUACUGCAAACUGAUCAUUUGGAAAAACCAAAGAACAACAAAGAACAACACAACUUCUGAAUCACUAACUAUUGUGGUGAAAGGAAGAGCUUGGAAAUGGCCUUUCGUCUGCCUGGUGGUAUACCCGAGGAGCACCUCCCGGAUUUUCCGAGGGGACGCAUCCAUGGGUUGCACAUGCUUGCAAGACAAGGCCGUGUAGACAACUUCCCACAUCCUGCAGAACCUGGCCUCCCUGAAGAGGAAGGUGAGUAUAAUAUUGGUCACCGUUUUCCCCCUCUCAGAGAAGAUGAACAUCAAAUAGAGGAGUGGGAGGAUGAAGACGACUGGCCUUACUGGUCUGUAGAUCCUGGGUAUGGCUCCGUGUCUGAAGAGGACGAGAGUGCAGAGGAAGAGGAGCAAGUGGAUGUUGAAAAUUGUAGUGAUAGUUAUGGUGAUGGUUGUAGUGAUGGUGACGUUGAUAGAGAUGGUGAAGUUGAUAGUGAUGGUGGUAGUGGUAGUGGUAGUGGUAGUGAUGGUUAUAGUGAUGGUUAUAGAAAUGGUUAUGGUGAUGGUUAUGGUGAUGGUUAUUGUGAUGAUUUUAGUGCUGGUAAUGCUUAUAGUGCUGGUUAUAGUGCUGGUUAUAUUGCUGGUUAUAGUGAUGGUUAUAGUGAUGGUUAUAGUGAUGGUUGUCGUGAUGGUUCUAGUUUUCAUGAUGAUGUCAACAUCCUACCUUACUCCCCUCUCAUCGAGCACUUCCCACCUCCAAGUUUUUGGCAGCAAUUUAAACCACCGCGUCCUUCCUUUCCCACUGGUGAGCCAUUCUGGCACCUCCCAUUUGGUGGUCCGCUGCACGGGCUUCCUGCGCUGCAAGUGAGAGAACCUGAAUAUGGUUGUCCCUCAGCCUCUCAAAGGUCACACCUUUGCCUCAGGGAGUCUGCACACUCCUCUUCAGGCCUCGGCCCCUCCACAGACAGAAGAAGGGAAGACAGCUCCAGGGAGUCUGCGCACUCCUCUUCAGGCCUCGGCCCCUCCACAAAGAGAAGCAGGGAAGAGAGUGACACCUUGCAGGUAAGUAUGAAGAGGCUGAAGGGGAAUUGUGAGGACAGCCUCAAUGAGUUGCCACCCUCCUCUUCAGGCCACGGCCCCUCCACAUAUAGAAGAAGGGAAGACAGCUCCAGGGAGUCUGCACACUCCUCUUCAGGCCUCGGCCCCUCCACAGACAGAAGAAGGGAAGACAGCUCCAGGGAGUCUGCGCACUCCUCUUCAGGCCUCGGCCCCUCCACAAAGAGAAGCAGGGAAGAAAGUGACACCUUGCAGGUAAGUACGAAGAGGCUGAAGGGGAAUUGUGAGGACAGCCUCAAUGAGUUACCACCCUCCUCUUCAGGCCUCGGCCCCUCCACAUACAGAAGAAGGGAAGACAGCUCCAGCGAGUCUGCGCACUCCUCUUCAGGCCUCGGCCCCUCCACAGACAGAAGAAGGGAAGACAGCUCCAGGGAGUCUGCGCACUCCUCUUCAGGCCUCGGCCCCUCCACAGACAGAAGAAGGGAAGACAGCUCCAGGGAGUCUGCACGCUCCUCUUCAGGCCUCGGCCCCUCCACAUUCAGGAGAUACUGGAUGGUUCCUCUUGAUAACAUGCGAGGAACUGAAGAUAGCGACUCUGAUUAGGACAGAGUUUGGGACUGUUUUCUGCAGGAUUGGAAAACCUUUGCGUCUAAUGGGGUAGAUAAUUCUUUUUUGGAGUAUUGCACCAGGGCCUAUUUGUACAUAUCUGGAAGCAGGAUUGCCUCUUUGUAAUCUUGAAGGCUGGAGGUUGGUUAUGACUCAGGUAGCAUCUAGCAUCAGGGUUAUUUUCUCUUUUGAUUAAUAGUUAGCUUUAAUGGUAAUGUACAGUAUGUGAUACCUAUAUUAAUUGCAUUUAUGUAGCACUUUCAUUCACACACUAGAUCAAGAUUAACUUUAUUGUCCCGCCAUGUUGGAAAUUUGUCUUGGGCACUUAACCCAUGAGGCAGUCAUAUUAAAAAUAAAAACAGACAUGUAUAACAAACAAUAGAUAAUUUACAAUACCAUACAACAAACCAUAAUAUGGCCCUGAUGGUGUAUAAACACAACAUGGUGUCAAGCAGUGCUUUAGUUAAACAUUACUCCAACAAUAAAAUAAUAACAAAACAAAUAAGUAUCAGUGUAGAGAUCACAAGCACAACGAUAACAAAUCCGCAAAUCCCCAUCGCCAGAAAGCUACCACGCAAGGCACUCGCCUGACCAUUGGGAGCAAUGUGGGGUUCAGUGUUUUGCCCAAGGUAUCACUUUUUAAACUAAGCUACAGAUGCCUAUACCAGAGGUAAGUCAACAAUUAUUUGAAUAUGUUCAACAGAAAUGCAAGGAAAAUAGGGGACUUUGCUUAAAGAUAUGCAGUCUCUGUUAAUGCUUUUUUAAAAGCAGUUGAUGCUGUUUAAACUGGCUUUUGGCUCAUGUUUUUAAUGUUGUGUUUGUAAAUCUUUUUAUUUCCAUUGGUAUUUAAUUUCUUUUCUUCUUGUUAAUUUGUCUGUUAUUGGAUCAAAUGUUUUAACAAUAUUUCUCAUGUGAAGCACUUCGAGACUGUCUGUAAAACGGGCUAUAUCAAAUAAACCUGUUAUUAUUUGAUUGCAUUUAUGUAGCGCUAAUGGCAGCAAGCUACCGUGCAAGGCACUAGCCUGACUAUUGGGAGCAAUGUAGGGUUAAGCAUUGUUGUUCUUUGGCUUUUUAACAUAGCUGUGGAUGCCUAUACCAGAGGUAAGUUAACAAUUAUUGACAGUAAUCUCACUUAUUGAAUAGUUAAGGCAUAAUAAAUCUUACUCAUUGUUAUACUGUCAUAUAUUUUUCUAGGUGUUUACUCUGGACCAGAUGAGAAGGAUGGACGACCACAGGACUGGGAUGACUACAAGUCCAGCAAAAGAGCAGUGGUUGCCUUUCUUUCACUUGGCCAACAGGGCAGGAUUCCUCCAGGAUUUUGGCACUCGUCAGGCAGCUGAGAAUGGAUGUCAACCAACCUAUCAUCUCAGGCAGACCCAGCACCACAGCAGACCACUGGACCACGGACGUCAACCAACCUAUCAUCUCAGGCAGACCCAGCACCACAGCAGACCACUGGACCACGGACGUCAACCAACCUAUCAUCUCAGGCAGACCCAGCACCACAGCAGACCACUGGACCACGGACGUCAACCAACCUAUCAUCUCAGGCAGACCCAGCACCACAGCAGACCACUGGACCACGGACGUCAACCAACCUAUCAUCUCAGGCAGACCCAGCACCACAGCAGACCACUGGACCACGGACGUCAACCAACCUAUCAUCUCAGGCAGACCCAGCACCACAGCAGACCACUGGACCACUCUCAGCACCCUACUUGCUUCCAGGCACCAAUUACGAGCUGAAGACCCAUUGAAGACUACUACGAGCUCCUGCCUGACCAGCACAGAGGAAGUUGUCACCAUCUGCUUCUUCUUCUUCUGUGCUGGUGGAUUUGGGAAGCACCUCACACACAGGAAGCAGUCACCACAGACACAGAGACUGAAUUAAAAUAUUAUAAAGUGUUAAGUUUGUGAAUUUAAACACAGUAUGUUAGUAUAUACUGUUUAUCCACUUACUAAUGCAAUACA